Molecule: ribosomal RNA, 892 nt
Filed under: uncultured marine bacterium
Lineage: Bacteria
Description: bacterial SSU rRNA
Rfam family: Bacterial small subunit ribosomal RNA
Source: RNAcentral
CAGCAGCCGCGGUAAUACGUAGGGGGCGAGCGUUGUCCGGAAUCAUUGGGCGUAAAGGGCUCGUAGGCGGCUCGGUAAGUCGAUCGUGAAAUCCCGGAGCUCAACUCCGGAACUGCGGUCGAUACUGCCGUGGCUAGAGUCAGGUAGAGGAGAGUAGAAUUCCCGGUGUAGCGGUGGAAUGCGCAGAUAUCGGGAGGAAUACCAUUUAGCGAAGGCGGCUCUCUGGGCCUGUACUGACGCUGAGGAGCGAAAGCGUGGGUAGCAAACAGGAUUAGAUACCCUGGUAGUCCACGCCGUAAACGUUGGGCACUAGGCGUGGUGGCCUGACCAAGGGCUGCUGUGCCGACGCUAACGCAUUAAGUGCCCCGCCUGGGGAGUACGGCCGCAAGGCUAAAACUCAAAGGAAUUGACGGGUCCCCGCACAAGCGGCGGAGCAUGCGGCGUAAUUCGAUGCAACCCGAAGAACCUUACCUAGGUUUGACAUUAUGGGAAAAGCCAUGGAAACAUGGUGUGCGGGAGCGUCCAUAACAGGUGGUGCAUGGCUGUCGUCAGCUCGUGUCGUGAGAUGUUGGGUUAAGUCCCGCAACGAGCGCAACCCUCGUCCUAUGUUGCCAGCGGGUAAUGCCGGGGACUCAUAGGAGACCGCCGGGGACAACUCGGAGGAAGGUGAGGAUGACGUCAAGUCAGCAUGCCCCUUACACCUAGGGCUGCACGCAUGCUACAAUGGCCGGUACAACGGGCUGCGAUCCCGCGAGGGUGAGCGAAUCCCUUAAAGCCGGCCCCAGUUCGGAUUGGAGUCUGCAACUCGACUCCAUGAAGCCGGAGUCGCUAGUAAUCGCGGAUCAGCAAAGCCGCGGUGAAUACGUUCUCGGGGAUUGUACACACCGCCCGU